UACGAAGGGAGCUAGCGUUGUUCGGAAUCACUGGGCGUAAAGCGCACGUAGGCGGAUGUGUCAGUCAGGGGUGAAAUCCCGGAGCUCAACUUCGGAACUGCCUCUGAUACAGCACGUCUUGAGUCCGAUAGAGGUGGGUGGAAUUCCGAGUGUAGAGGUGAAAUUCGUAGAUAUUCGGAGGAACACCAGUGGCGAAGGCGGCUCACUGGUCCAUUACUGACGCUGAGGUGCGAAAGCGUGGGGAGCAAACAGG
This 253-nucleotide ribosomal RNA is filed under the name uncultured bacterium. RNAcentral describes it as "partial 16S ribosomal RNA". It matches the Rfam family "Bacterial small subunit ribosomal RNA", at positions 524 to 776 of the family's 1533-position model. The record is from RNAcentral.